AUUGGUACCACCAAGUAAACCUUCAUUGAGAACUCCCAUUUCUAUACCUCCCGUUGAGCCUCCUAGUAGGAAUAAAGAAAAAAGGUUUACUUCAGAUGUGGGACAAAUCAAAACGAAAGAUGCAGGUGAUCAGCGUGAAGCUUCAGCACUUCGUGAUGAGCUUGAUAUGUUACAAGAAGAGAAUGAAGUUAUACUUGACAAGCUUCGUUGUGCAGAAGAAAGACGUGAGGAGGCUGAAGCUAGAGCUAGGGAGUGCUGCACUUGGAGAAGGUGUGUCCCUAGAAGCUAAACUGUUGAGCAGGAAGGAAGCAGCACUGCGUCAAAGGGAGGCUGCGCUUAAGGCUGCAAAACAAACUAAAGAUGGGAGAGAUGAAGAAAUUGCAGCCCUUCGCACCGAACUUGAGAGCUUGAAAGGAGGAGCUACUGCAGCUGUGGAACAGUUCCAAGAAGCAGAAGCUGAAGCUAAAGCUCUUCGCACAAUGACACAGAGAAU
This 493-nucleotide unclassified non-coding RNA is filed under the name Hevea brasiliensis (rubber tree). Lineage: Eukaryota; Viridiplantae; Streptophyta; Magnoliopsida; Malpighiales; Euphorbiaceae. The record is from RNAcentral.